RNAcentral lists this ribosomal RNA (482 nucleotides) under uncultured bacterium. Its description in RNAcentral is "bacterial SSU rRNA". It matches the Rfam family "Bacterial small subunit ribosomal RNA", at positions 30 to 507 of the family's 1533-position model. The record is from RNAcentral. RNAcentral also lists the same sequence under 1 other name.
AUUGAACGCUGGCGGCAUGCCUUACACAUGCAAGUCGAACGGUAACAGGUCUUCGGACGCUGACGAGUGGCGAACGGGUGAGUAAUACAUCGGAACGUGCCCAGUCGUGGGGGAUAACUACUCGAAAGAGUAGCUAAUACCGCAUACGAUCUGAGGAUGAAAGCGGGGGACCUUCGGGCCUCGCGCGAUUGGAGCGGCCGAUGGCAGAUUAGGUAGUUGGUGGGAUAAAAGCUUACCAAGCCGACGAUCUGUAGCUGGUCUGAGAGGACGACCAGCCACACUGGGACUGAGACACGGCCCAGACUCCUACGGGAGGCAGCAGUGGGGAAUUUUGGACAAUGGGCGAAAGCCUGAUCCAGCAAUGCCGCGUGCAGGAUGAAGGCCUUCGGGUUGUAAACUGCUUUUGUACGGAACGAAAAAGCUCCUUCUAAUACAGGGGGCCCAUGACGGUACCGUAAGAAUAAGCACCGGCUAACUACGUG